AAAAAGUUUGAUUCUAGCUUAGAAAUUUAUUAAAAAUUUAAUAAUACAUGUAAAUUUUUGUGGGAAAAAUAUUUUUUUUUAAUAAAAAAAUAAAUUUGAAUAAUCUCAGUAUUUAAAAUUAAAUAUUAUAGAAAUAUAGAUUUAGUAAUAUUUUACAAUAUUAGCAAAAAUUGUGCCAGCAGCUGCGGUUAUACAAUUAAUUUAAAUAAAUUUUAUAAGUUAAUAGUUAAUUAAUAAAAAUAAAUUUAAAUAUAUAAUUUUAAGGUGAAAUUUAUUUUAUAUAAAAGAUUUAUUUAUAUAAUGAAGCUAUAAAAAUUAAAUAAUAAACUAGGAUUAGAUACCCUAUUAUUUUAAUUAAUAUAAAUACUUAAGUAGUAAUAGGUAUAGGCUUGAAACUUAAAGAAUUUGGCGGUAUUUUAAUCUUUUCAGAGGAACCUGUUCUAUAAUCGAUAUUCCACGUUAAAUUUUACUAAAUUUUAUUAUUUAUAUAUCGUUGUCGAAAGAAUAUUUUUAUAAAAUUAUAAUUUUCUAAUAUUUUGAAGAAAAAAGAUGUCAAAUCAAGGUGUAGUUAAUAAUUUAGUAGAAAUGGGUUACAAUAAAUUUAUUUAAACGAAAAUAUUAUUGAAAAAUAAUUUAGAAGGAGGAUUUGAAAGUAAAUUAAUUUUAAUAAAUUUAAUUGAUUAUAGUUCUAAGAUAUGUACAUAUUGCCCGUCGCUCUUUUUUUUAAAAAAAGAUAAGUCGUAACAUAGUAGAUGUACUGGAAAGUGUAUCUAGAAAGAC
This 780-nucleotide non-coding RNA is filed under the name Ceratophyllus wui. Lineage: Eukaryota; Metazoa; Arthropoda; Insecta; Siphonaptera; Ceratophyllidae. The record is from RNAcentral.